GGCAGGGUAGCUCAAUCGGUAGAGCAGCGGAAUCAUAAUCCGUGAGUUGGGGGUUCGAGUCCCCCCCCUGCUA
This 73-nucleotide transfer RNA is filed under the name Acidobacteriota bacterium. Its description in RNAcentral is "tRNA-Met". It matches the Rfam family "tRNA". From Rfam's summary of the family: Transfer RNA (tRNA) molecules are approximately 80 nucleotides in length. Their secondary structure includes four short double-helical elements and three loops (D, anti-codon, and T loops). Further hydrogen bonds mediate the characteristic L-shaped molecular structure. tRNAs have two regions of fundamental functional importance: the anti-codon, which is responsible for specific mRNA codon recognition, and the 3' end, to which the tRNAs corresponding amino acid is attached (by aminoacyl-tRNA synthetases). tRNAs cope with the degeneracy of the genetic code in two manners: having more than one tRNA (with a specific anti-codon) for a particular amino acid; and 'wobble' base-pairing, i.e. permitting non-standard base-pairing at the 3rd anti-codon position. Lineage: Bacteria; Pseudomonadati; Acidobacteriota. RNAcentral also lists the same sequence under 3 other names. The record is from RNAcentral.